RNAcentral lists this long non-coding RNA (923 nucleotides) under Mus spicilegus (steppe mouse). RNAcentral describes it as "lncRNA (ENSMSIG00000012222.1)". The record is from RNAcentral. Lineage: Eukaryota; Metazoa; Chordata; Mammalia; Rodentia; Muridae.
UUAAUAAUCAGCUUCUCUGGAAGUCCCUCUUCAUCAUAGACUUCACACUCACAGGCUGAUGAAAUGUGGUUAGUCAGAAGGAGCCUUCAUUGCUUCUGUCCAGAGCUUUUAGAGCAAAUGGCUUCUCUGAGGAUACAACAGUGCGUUUCCCGGAGGGCCUUCCUCUGUCAUUUACAAUGACUACAGCUCUCUCCUCCUAGACAAACACAGAAAACCCUUUUUUUCCAGAAGUUGGCUCAACAUGUGCUGAGCAAGGUUACAGACUGUUAGGGAUAUGCUAUGACAGACAAAGCGCACUCUCAGCUGCUUUCCAAGAAGUGGCAUACUGUCUGCUUCCACUUUGGCAAUUUCCUGCUAGAGUUCAUGCUUCCAAGCAAAUAAAACCAAAGCCUUUACCCUUAUGAAUGAAAACUUCACCUGCUUUUGCCUAUUUCUCAAAGUUUCCUCAUUUCCUCCUCAGUGGUGUCAGGGGGAAGAUUGCCGACAAAGAGACAGCUACAUUGCGUAAAGGUCUUCUCUCUUGGUUUCUAAAAUUCUUUAGUCAAUAGUCAAACUUUCAUUCUGCCUGCUGGCCUACUGUCCAUUUGUAGGUAUUGAUGCCUUCUCCUCCUCCUCAUGCUGCUGCUGCUCCUGCUGCUGCUGCUGCUGAUGAUGAUGAUGAUGACGACUACAACGAUUGAUGAUGAUGACAACGAUGAUGAUGUUGCUGCUGGUGGUGAUGUUGCUGAUGCCUACUUGGAGUAUGAGUCUGCUUCUCCAAGUUAAAGGGCACAUAGCCGAACAGGGAUCUGUUCUGCCAACAAUCCUGAAAAAUCAUCUGCCGAGUGUCACCUGAAUAACAGUGCAAUCUGUGUGAACCAUGGUGCUCUUGCCAAUUACCACCAUGCAGCCUGUGAGUCAUCUAAGGAGAAAGCAGUCAUGGA